This 253-nucleotide ribosomal RNA is filed under the name uncultured bacterium. RNAcentral describes it as "partial 16S ribosomal RNA". It matches the Rfam family "Bacterial small subunit ribosomal RNA", at positions 524 to 776 of the family's 1533-position model. The record is from RNAcentral.
UACAGAGGGUGCGAGCGUUAAUCGGAAUUACUGGGCGUAAAGCGCACGUAGGUGGCGACGUAAGUCGGGUGUGAAAGCCCCGGGCUCAACCUGGGAAUUGCAUUCGAGACUGCAUUGCUGGAGUACGGAAGAGGAAGGCGGAAUUCCCGGUGUAGCGGUGAAAUGCGUAGAUAUCGGGAAGAACACCCGUGGCGAAGGCGGCUCUCUGGGACGGUACUGACGCUGAGACGCGAAAGCGUGGGGAGCGAACAGG